RNAcentral lists this ribosomal RNA (497 nucleotides) under uncultured bacterium. RNAcentral describes it as "partial 16S ribosomal RNA". It matches the Rfam family "Bacterial small subunit ribosomal RNA", at positions 28 to 507 of the family's 1533-position model. The record is from RNAcentral.
GAUGAACGCUGGCGGCGUGCCUAAUACAUGCAAGUCGAGCGAACAGACGAGGAGCUUGCUCCUCUGACGUUAGCGGCGGACGGGUGAGUAACACGUGGAUAACCUACCUAUAAGACUGGGAUAACUUCGGGAAACCGGAGCUAAUACCGGAUAAUAUAUUGAACCGCAUGGUUCAAUAGUGAAAGACGGUUUUGCUGUCACUUAUAGAUGGAUCCGCGCCGCAUUAGCUAGUUGGUAAGGUAACGGCUUACCAAGGCAACGAUGCGUAGCCGACCUGAGAGGGUGAUCGGCCACACUGGAACUAAGACACGGUCCAGACUCCUACGGGAGGCAGCAGUAGGGAAUCUUCCGCAAUGGGCGAAAGCCUGACGGAGCAACGCCGCGUGAGUGAUGAAGGUCUUCGGAUCGUAAAACUCUGUUAUUAGGGAAGAACAAAUGUGUAAGUAACUAUGCACGUCUUGACGGUACCUAAUCAGGAAGCCACGGCUAACUACGUG